CCUACGGGUGGCAGCAGUGGGGGAUAUUGCACAAUGGGGGAAACCCUGAUGCAGCGACGCCGCGUGGGUGAAGAAGUAUUUCGGUAUGUAAAGCCCUAUCAGCAGGGAAGAAAGAAGACGGUACCUGACUAAGAAGCCCCGGCUAACUACGUGCCAGCAGCCGCGGUAAUACGUAGGGGGCGAGCGUUAUCCGGAUUCACUGGGUGUAAAGGGAGCGUAGACGGCCGUGCAAGCCAGGAGUGAAAGCCCGGGGCCCAACCCCGGGACUGCUGUUGGAACUGUGCGGCUGGAGUGCGGGAGGGGCAGGCGGAAUUCCUGGUGUAGCGGUGAAAUGCGUAGAUAUCAGGAGGAACACCGGCGGCGAAGGCGGCCUGCUGGACCGCGACUGACGUUGAGGCUCGAAAGCGUGGGUAGCGAACAGGAUUAGAUACCCCUGUAGUC
This 441-nucleotide ribosomal RNA is filed under the name uncultured bacterium. RNAcentral's name for it is "partial 16S ribosomal RNA". It matches the Rfam family "Bacterial small subunit ribosomal RNA", at positions 338 to 795 of the family's 1533-position model. The record is from RNAcentral.